Molecule: transfer RNA, 43 nt
Filed under: Rosalia coelestis
Lineage: Eukaryota; Metazoa; Arthropoda; Insecta; Coleoptera; Cerambycidae
Description: partial tRNA-Leu
Source: RNAcentral
AUGGAUUUAAGCUCCAUUUAUAAAGAUUAAACUUUUUUUAGAA